GUAGGUGGCAAGCGUUGUCCGGAAUUAUUGGGCGUAAAGCGCGCGCAGGUGGUUCUUUAAGUCUGAUGUGAAAGCCCCCGGCUCAACCGGGGAGGGUCAUUGGAAACUGGGGAACUUGAGUGCAGGAGAGGAAAGUGGAAUUCCACGUGUAGCGGUGAAAUGCGUAGAUAUGUGGAGGAACACCAGUGGCGAAGGCGACUCUCUGGCCUGUAACUGACACUGAGGCGCGAAAGCGUGGGGAGCAAACAGGGAUUAGAUACCCUGGUAGUCCACGCCGUAAACGAUGAGUGCUAAGUGUUGGGGGGGGUUUCCGCCCCAUCAGUGCUGCAGCUAACGCAUUAAGCACUCCGCCUGGGAGUACGGUCGCAAGACUG
Molecule: ribosomal RNA, 374 nt
Filed under: uncultured organism
Description: partial 16S ribosomal RNA
Rfam family: Bacterial small subunit ribosomal RNA
Source: RNAcentral